Molecule: transfer RNA, 70 nt
Filed under: Dipodomys ordii (Ord's kangaroo rat)
Lineage: Eukaryota; Metazoa; Chordata; Mammalia; Rodentia; Heteromyidae
Rfam family: tRNA
About the family: Transfer RNA (tRNA) molecules are approximately 80 nucleotides in length.
Source: Rfam by way of RNAcentral
GGGAGUGUGGCUCAGUGGUAGAGUGUUUGCCUAGCAUGCAUAAAGAUCUGGAUUCAAUUCCUCAGUACCA